UAUAUAGGAUGUUUGAAAAAAACAAAAUGUCAAUUGUGUCUUUAAUUGUAAUAUUUUUAUUUUUUAGGAAUUCAGUUGUUAUUUCAUUUUGGUUAAAUUAAAUUGCUCUUUCAUUUUGAUUCAAUUUUUUUUUACUUAUUAUCAAUUAUUAAAUUAAAUUGCUGUAUUUAUUGGUCAAACAUUACAUUUAAGAUUAAAGUCAUGCAAAUAUUGAAAGUUGUGAACUUAUGACGAUAGAGAGGCGAAUUAAUGACUCAAUAAAUUAGUCGUUUGUCUGGUCAAAUGAAUAGAAAUCGUAAGGAAAUACUCUUCUGAGUAAGAGUACAAUUAAAAUAAAGUCUUGGUGUUAUUAAUUCAAAGUGUCUUUUCAAUUUAUGAACUGUAUUUUAAGUGUAUCCAUUUAAAUUCUUAGUAGAUUUUAGAUUGUAAUAAGCAUGUGAAUUGUGAUGAUUUGACAUAUACAUAACAAGUUUGAAAAGACUUCAAUGAAAUUGUUUCCGUCAUAAAUGUAGAAUUCAAGCUUACAAGUUUGACAUAUACAUAAAAUAUUUACAAUUUGCAAUUUUAAAUUUAGUUAAUUGUUGUUCUAUGAUUGAAUGAUGGUAUUCACAAAUUUUAGAUAUUAACAUGACAUGAAUUUUCUUUGGAACCAAACAACCUUAUUAUCUUGACAAUUAUGAGACAAUAUUUUGCAUAUGCUCUUGAAAUCCCCAAAAUUUAUCAAACAUAACAAUUAAACCAAUAUAUAUGUAUGUGAACAUCAAAAUGAUAUUUAAUUUAAUUUUUUUAUACAAAUGUAUUUCUAAUGACAUUUUGAGAUUGUUAGAUAUAUUGUUAUCACACAAAUGAAUUUAAAUUAGGAGAAGUUAAGAUUGUGAGAGGAUCAUAGUCUAUAUUUGUUAGUUUAAUUUUUAAUCUAAAAAUAAAAAAUAAUAGUACAAGUAAUUAUUUUUACCUUUUUAAAUAACAAUAAUCAUGUAUUUGUUCUAAUACUUUACUUUAUGGUAUGUAAAAUAUAUAUUUGUGUGUUUGUGUGUGUGAUUAGUUUUUUUUCCUCCCUAAUAGAUAAAUAAAAAAAGGGUUGAAUACAUUAAAUAGUAGUAAAUAUGUGGGUCUAGUUCCCUAGGGUCAUUAAUAGACUUAGCUGCAUCCAACAAGGUGACCAAACCUUUAUUUUGAGCAAGAAUUAUAGCAGCUGAUUGGUAAUAUUAAUACCUUAUUGAUCUACUUUUAUGUAACAAAUAAUUAAAGAACCCAUCUGCCUAUUUUAAAUGAUUUGGUCAAUACUCAAUUGCUUAGGCCGUAGAAGAUUUAUAGAAAAUAAUAAUAAUAAUAAGUAAAUUUUGAGAUCCACCCACCCACUUGCCUCAUUCAUAAUUUCAUAUUUUCAUAUCAUGUUGUGACCUAAAUUUCAGAGAUGGCAAGAAACGAUUUUUUUUUAAUUUAAAUUUAUUACAAUUUAUUUUUGGAUAUUUUCAUGUAACAAUAAAAAAGAAGAAAACUAAUAACCACAAAAUAUGCUCCCGGUAGCUUAUGUUAAGUUGAGUUUUUACUCACAUAGAAUCAAUAGUUAUUGAGUAAGAGAAAUAAAAAAUAAAAAUACAAAAUAAAUCUUAACAAUUGAUUCUUUUCUUCAUAAAAAAUAAAUGCAGCGCUAUUUUGAUAUGUAAUACAAUAUAAUAUCACUUUCUAUACAUAUCACUUUCUAUACAUAUGUUACUUAUAUGAACUCUAUAUGUGGGGUUUAAAGGAUUUAAAUGAUUGAUUAGCGGAUUACAUUAGGCUAUAAAAUUUUACACAUAGAAUUUAAGUUCACACCAAAAAUUUGUUAUUAACAUUGAUGUAUAGAAAUGAGAAAUGAAAGUCUCCAUUAUCCACACCUCAUCUCUAAGAAGAGGCAAUAGGGUGCAUGGCAUGUGGUGCCAGCAUUAUAAGAAAGGUUAAUGUUCACAAAAUGCCAAUAUUUUAUUCCCUUUGGAUUAACAUGAAGUCUAGAUCAAUUAAUUAUUAAAUCUUAUAUGACAAUUCAUAGGCCAAAAGUUUAUAAAUUGACAAUAAUUUGUUUCUCUUUCUAGAUGAGGAAAACAUGUUGCAUAAAAAAGAAAGACUUUGCAAACUUUUCUUAGUCCAUGAAACAAAUUUUAAGAUUUUAUAUUGUGAAAAUCUCUAUAGCAAUCUCCUCCCUUUUUACAUGAAAGCUAAACUUUCUCAAUUAAAGUUUUUAUCUUGAAUUAAUACAUACAUCAUUAUUAUAUUAUUUAAAUAGUUAAAUAAGAAGAAUAUAAUGAAGUUCACAUCAAGGUGCUUUAAAAAAAUUACCACAAAAACAGUUUUUGUAUGAUAGUUCAAAGGUUAUUAAGCUUUUAAUAAAUGUGAAUCAAUUUUUUUAUCCUAUUUUAUACGAGGAUUUGAUCUCAAACUUAUUAAACAAAUCUAAAAAAAUUUUAUGAAUUGAAUCAACUCAUUAUUUCCUAUGGUUAUGGAUCAAAGUGUCGUUGAUAAACAUUAAACAUUAAGAAAUUAACAAAAAAUUGCCACAUAUAUUAGAGGGAGAAAAAAGAAAAUUGUUUGUAGUUGGUUAAGGACCCGAUUUAAUUAAAUACAAGUACCUAUAUUCGAGGGAUCCAAUGCCCAACGCACAUAGGGCAGAGACAAGCAAGGGUCCUUAAAAUCAGUAUUAAAUAAUUCCUCUGACCCUAUUUGUUUGGCAUUGCUUGCUGCUUUGUAAUUUUCUGCUUACAAAUUAAUUAGAUUUGUUCAGAUUCUCUGUAGUCUGUACACUUGUUCAUAAUAAGCCAUCAUAUUAAUGACCAAUCAAACAGGACAGAACUGCUUUAAUUAAGAGGCAGCAAGCAAGUACUUAGCAGGCAAAAGCAACUUAUUCCCAAAGUGCUUUUCUUUGACAGCCAGGAAUGUUAACUUAUGUCCUUGCUCAUAGAGUGCUUGCUAGUCCCUAAUCCAAGGACAAUAGGACAUUUUGGAUCAUAAACAGGUCAUCUGUAUAGACAGACAAACUCCCUAAAAAUGUAAUUGAAGGCUUUGACUACCUCAUCUUAGGGGUAUUUGUAUUCAACCAUUUAAGCAUAGUCAAAUGAACGAAACUUUAUUAAAUUUUAUUAAUUUUCUGAUUAUCUAAUGAUGUUCAGGUAAUAAAAUAGUUAAUACAAAAAGUCGACAAAGACAAAUAUAAGAAUAUAAUCCUUUUUUACCAAAAGUCAUGUGACAUGGUAUGAUCUUAUUACCAAAAUUUUCUAUAUCAACUAAGUGAUGGUGUAAUUAAAAUAUCUUGAGCAUAAUAGAUUGGCCGAUCUACUUCUAAGUACUUGGGGGAAAAAAAAAAAAGAAAUCCCGGGCUCAAUGAAGCCACUUGCCAAAGCAACUCGUGAUUAAAGCAAAUGAGUGAAAAAGUAGAAAUUAAGACCCUAAAAUCAAAGAAGACACAGUAAGAUUCAGUACAAAGGUCCCUGCGAAAAAGCAUUGAAACUAAAAUAUUUGAAUGCUAAUAAAAAAGUGACACAAUUUACAUCAAAUUAAUCACUUUUUGGAUUAGAGCCUGUGAAAACAGAUUAGAAAGCAGAAAGUGUGAAUAAAGUGCUGCUUGUAAGUAGAUUGAUUGUUAAUUUGUUGGAAAAGAAUCUGUAAAUUCCAACGAUUUUCCAGUGUAAUUUCCUAAAUAGAAAAGGCGAGUGAAAAUAAUAGGAGAACUUUUUAAUCCAAGUUAGACAUUUGGAUAAACCAAUGGGAUUUUGUUGAUGUGUCUGAGGAAAAUUCGUACGCCGAUAUUUUUAAAAGAUAUCUCUACCAAAUGUGCACACAAUGGUUUCAAGAUUUUUGAGAAUUCUCUUCGACUCUUUUACAUUAUCAUCCUCCACUCAAUCAUAACAUAUUGAUUAUUGAUACAAUGAAGAAUCUCCUACAAGUAUUGAUCUAUUGAAUGUUAUUUUCAGUAUCUGAAAACUAUAUAUAGAAGCUUCAUAUCUACACAAAAUAAAUAAAUAGAUAACAUGCAUUAAUAGACACAAAAAAAAUUCAAUAAUCACUAGCUGAUCUAUCAUAGAUUUAAGAUUUGGAUGGAUGAUGAAAUGACUUAAGAAGGUAACCACCGAAAGGUUCAAUUAUUUGGGGUGCCCCAAAUAAAUUAUCUUCAUUGAUUCUCAAAUAUUCUUUUGUGGCCAAACAAGCAAUUUAUCUUUCUAGGGUUUUAAGGUUUUAUUAGCUACAUAUAUAACUUAUUGGAUUAAUUAGUUGCUUGUGACAUAUGCAAACAAUGCUUAAGUGAUUGUAUAAUUAAUCACUCAUUGAGAGUUUCAUGUAAUGCCAUUUUUAAUGGUCAAAGAAACUGCUCAACACAAAAACUCAAAAUUUUAAGUUAUCGUGUUUAAAAUAAAUAAUAUAGGGGCACAAAAAUGAGAUAGAAUUAAAAAAUUAAUUAACUUACCUAACGUGAUCAAGCACGAGAUUUAACUUAACUUACAAACUCAUACUAUCAAGAACGAGUCUAUAAUACUCACAGAGGGCAAGACCGAUGAUUUUUCAAAUAAUUUUAUUUAGUUAACCACCUCAAUUCAUAUUCUAAUAAAUAUAAUGUCCGAGAUCUUUUUCUUUCAUUAUUUACUCAAUCCAAUUAAGCAGCCCAUGAUAAAAGUAGUUGAAAGAAGAAAUUAAUUGUAUGCAUUUGAAUCCUAUGUCCUAUGAUUCCGGUGAUUAUGAACAUAAUUCAUCGUUAAUUACGACAAUUUGCAAUGUAAUGAUUAUCAUUAAUUUUUUGUUAAGAAGAAUAAUAAUAAUAAUAAUACAAUGUGAAUGGUUAUUGAAAGACAAGUCAAUGCUCUAAUUAAGGGAAGUGGACCCAUAAUAUACAUGCUUGUGAGUUUUUGUAGCCUUUAUAUUUAUACAGAAAGUUGAAUUGAUUCUUUUAACUUUGAACUUUUUCUAUGCAUUAAUUCAACUUUAGUUUCUGUUCCCGAUUCAAAGAAAUUGUUGAACCUUUGUUUCAAAAUUGAUUGCGAUGGACAUGUUACCAUAGAAAAAUAUACUCUACAAUUGAUAAAUAUAAUCAUCAUUUAUAAUCCUUACAUGGAUAAAAUCUUUCGCAUUAUACUAAGUUUAGAAAUUGAACCUCGCUCAUACUAAUUAGUAAGUAAUUUGAUUUAUGUUUAUAUAAUAUUUAAAUAAAUAAUUCAAUGUCCGAAUAUAGAGAGAAAAAUUUUCAUGUGUAGAUUUUGUAUGAAUUUUUAUUUAGAUUUAGGGUUUCAUAAUGGUAUAAAAACUAAAAAGUACUGAUUACAUCAUUAUAAAUCAUUUAACAACGUUGUCAAAAUCUUCCACACUGUUAUACAACUCCAAAUUCACAUGAAAAUUUAUAUAUAUAUAUAUAUAUAUUACUGUAGAAAAAUAUAUUUAUUGAGAGAUAUCUACUUAUCUAUAUUUAUGAAAAGAAAAUAUUGCAUUCACCACAAUUCACCACUAAGCUACAAAUACAUUAUAUGUAAACCGAUCCGCUAAGCAUGACAUAAUUUUCUCUUAUCACAAAAACAAAUCAUAAUUGUCACACUUUUUCUCAUCGAAGGAGAGAAAAUUAAAUAGGUUGCUUUGUCUUUGUAAUGUUUGAAAAUAUGAAAAUGAAAUUCUAACAAAAAUGUGAUAAAAGAUAUCAAUCAUUUGGUAGAAGAAGCUUAUUUUAUAACACAAAAUAAUCAAUUUAACUAAAAGAAUAUAACCACAUUCUUCUUGUUAAUUUCUCCAAUUUUUCUAAUGUAUUUAAUGGGACAAUGCGAUGAAGGGUGUCAAUCAUUUGGUAGAAGAAACUUAUUGUAUGCCACAAAAUAAGUCAAUUUAACUCAAAGAAUAUAAUCACAUUCUUCUUGUUAAUUUAUCCAAUUUUCCUAAUGCAUUUAAUGGGACAAUGUGAUAAAAGGUGUCAAUCAUUAGGUAGAAGAAACCUAUGGUAUAACACAAAAUAAGCCAAUUUAAUUAAAAAGAAUAUAACCACAUUCUUCUUGUCAAUUUUUCCAAAUUUCAUAAUGUAUUUAAUUGGACAAUGUGCAAAUUGAGUUCCAUUUAAAGAUUGAAAUGAAGGGUUGAUACGAUCAUGAUGUUAGUGGGGCGCUAAGCCAAUAAGGGUUGGUUAGUAGCUCUCACUCAAGUCUUAAUCAAAAUUCAAAUCAAAAUAAGUGUGAAUUUGUUGAUGAUAUUAAAUUUAAUUUCAUCUACAACUUUUAUUAAUCACAUCAACUGAUGGAAAAAUUGUUAGAAAUUUUACGUUUAAAGUUUGAUUUUUUUUUUCAAAAGCUUAAAAGAUUCAUAAUUUAUGAAUUCAUAUCACAUGUGAUUGCACAUCUAACGGUUCAAAUAGUUGAAAAAAAAAAAAAAAAAGAAAACUAAAAUUUGAGAGAGUCUCCAUUAUUGUAGUAUUUCAAAUAAUAAUAAUAAUAAUAAUAAUAGGAUUAUGCUAAUGUGGCCCUAACCACAAACAUUUUGUGGGUAAAAAUCAAAAGGCGAUAUCUAGAAACAAAAUAUGCAUGCAAUUUAUAGAGUAGGUAUGGCUACAAUUCAAAUGUCUUAUCAAAAUGAUUGAUUAUAUAAUUAUUAAAUUCCAAUUUGCAUCAAAAUAUCUUAUCAAAAUGAUUAAUUUUGUAAUUGAAUAUUUUUUUUUUCUUUUUAACACUGUUAAUACAGGGAAAAGAAAGUGCUUAAGAGCUUUGUUGAUUGUAGUUGGUGUAGAUCGUGGGUCAUCAAAAUCUUGUUUAAGGAUUUUGGCUUUUACAAGAUUGACGGUGGAUUUGACCAAUAAAGUUCGUGUAAGCUGAAAUUAAGGUUCAUUCCCUUUUCAUUAAUUUUGUGAAUCAAUUGUAGUCCGUAUAGAAAUCAACGAAAUGUCAAAAAUAUAAUAAUGGUUCAAUCUUAAUUACACCGAUGACUAUUACGUAACUUAAAAUUUGAUUAUUUUUUAUAUAUAUUAUUGAUACAUUGUCCAAAAAUUUUGUAAUUUUUGAAGUUCGAAUAUUUUGAAAUAUCAACCUAAGGAUUUAAUCAAACCCAUAGAUCAAUGUUGUCAAUUUUCCUUGUUUUUAAGCAAAGAUUAAGUAUAGUAUUUUGUGGAUAAAAUAGUAAUUGGAUUGAUUGAUUUUUCUUCCCCUUAAGUUUAAAGUAGAGAGUUCAAAUCUUGUUGGUGCUGUCCAACAACAACUUAGAGGUAAUUCAUUCAUUCAUUGCCAACAUUAAGCUACCAAAAUGGAAUCAUUUAGUACACAAAUUUGUAAUCCGUAUCCGUAUAUUUACCUGAGUUCCAUUGUUGAACACUAAGCAACUUCAAUUUAUUUGACUGUUUUUUGAAGCCUCGUGAUAUUCUAUCCCUCUCUUGUCUCUAUCUCUCUCUGUUUUUUUUUUCCCUCUCUAUAAACAUUUUGAAGCUACAAUGACAAUCCUGCCAUUAUAAUUCUAAAGUUUAUGCAAUUGUAUUUUUGAUUUUGUAUGUAAAGUUUUUACAACUUUAUCUUUGGUUCAACGUAAGUAUGACAAAAUCAUUAGGCUAAUGGUUGUAACAGAAAAAUAGUAAAAUGAUAAACA
RNAcentral lists this long non-coding RNA (7569 nucleotides) under Citrus x clementina. RNAcentral describes it as "Citrus clementina (C. clementina) long non-coding RNA (CCLE_LNC001738)". Lineage: Eukaryota; Viridiplantae; Streptophyta; Magnoliopsida; Sapindales; Rutaceae. The record is from RNAcentral.